Molecule: long non-coding RNA, 446 nt
Organism: Armigeres subalbatus
Lineage: Eukaryota; Metazoa; Arthropoda; Insecta; Diptera; Culicidae
Exons: 2
Source: RefSeq, a predicted model, not a curated record
AACCAUCCUUAGCCAUGCCUCAAAUUUAUCUUGCGCUCGAACCAAUCCCUUUUUAGCGUGUGUGCUCAGCGGUUCACCCAUACUGCCAAGCAAAUGAAGCGGUGCAACUGUCAAAACAUGCGCGCUUUUUUCGUCUCCCUCGCGGCUCGCCAUGUUUUUUCACCAGUCCAGUUGACUGCCCUUUGGUUCGGUCGUGACAAAAAUUCAUCGUUAAACAACUUUCCCCCAUAAGCCAUCGGUAUCAAGCAGCCCUUACCGUUCUGACCGAAUCGUAUACUCCUGAUUCGGAGUUUCGGCGCCAAUUGGCUGGUGGUUCUCCUUUUGCGGAAACGAUGACGCGGUUUCGGGUUUACGACGCUUGGCAUAUUCUUAGGACAGCAAUGUUCAUAGUAAAGAUAAUUUCGAGGCGAGAUGGACAUUGAUGGACCGUCUGGCAACUGAUAUCA